Molecule: long non-coding RNA, 5543 nt
Organism: Perognathus longimembris pacificus (Pacific pocket mouse)
Lineage: Eukaryota; Metazoa; Chordata; Mammalia; Rodentia; Heteromyidae
Exons: 2
Source: RefSeq, a predicted model, not a curated record
AGCCCUGCCUGAUACUUUUAACACUUCAUGUCAAUCUAUUUAUUCUGAUUACAAGCUAAUUGUAGUCUAAGAGGUCAGCUGUGAGUAAAUGACUGUUAGCUAUCUAAAAGCAUUAUUGAACUCUAAUGCCAUUUAUUUCUAGCCAUCAACUAUAGUUUACAUGAUUUUACAUGCUAUUAAUACUCUCGCAAUUUUAGUAAUUCCACCUGCAUCAGGAUUAUGUUGGCUUUUGUAUUCUGGACUAUGAUAAGAAUUUCCAUGUAUAAUUAUCCUUUCCUGGGACAAUGUAUUCUGUAAAUGGUUGUGGUAUAUACACUUUAAGUCUAAGGGGUCCUACGUACCUAUGUAAAUGAUAUGAUUGAGUUGGUUGGGUUUUCCUCAUUGUGACACCUGGGAAAAUCCAUGUUAAGGGAGCAAAUAAUUAUUUUGGUUCAUGGUUUCAGAGGUUUCCGUCAUGCUGGGUCGGCCCCUGUUGUUGCUUUGGGCCUGUGCUGACACUUGGUAUCAUGUUGGGAAGUGGAUGGUAGAGGACCUGCUCAUGUUGUCCACGAAGCAAAGGGGCAGGGAUGGUUAGGUUCCCCAUAUUUUGUUCAAGAGCAUGCCCCUAGAGUCUUCUAACUUCAUCCCCUGAGGCCUCCACCACCUGUCAGCAGUACCAGAAUCUGGUAACCAAGGCUAUAAUCAACACAUGGGCUGCUCAAGGGUACGCACCUAAACUUUUACAAAGAAGGACAAGAACAUAUAUUUAAUUAUACAUAGUCUUUGUGUGUAAAGCUGUCUUCAGAUGAUUCUCAUAGCAUUUCCAUCUUUGUAUGGUCUUUCUAAGUCGUAGCUGUGAAUUUCAGUUAUCACACUCAUCCGGGGAUAAGAAUUCCAGUUAUUACCCCAUUGAACAUGAAGUGCUCAUUCAUAGAACGCUGUUGAUAGGACUGUGUUCCUAAACACACAUGAGUAUACUUUCAAAGAGAAUGUUUCUUCUCCCCCAUUUUGUGAAUCUAUGUUUCAUGGAGGUUACUAUGUUUAAAAAUGUUCUUGCAUGAAGUCUUCUAUGAAUCUAUCCUGGAAGUUUUACUUUUAAGACCUAAAAAAAAAAAUCAUGUAGAUCUUAGUUAUAUGUUACAGCAUAAAAUGAUUGAUGAGCUUUGUAUUUCUUGGACUCCCUUCUCUGUUUGGAGUGUUCUGGGAGGCAAGGUGGAGUGGGGGUACACAGUUCCUGGUGCUUAUUAACAAGCACUACCAUGGGAACCACUGUCUGUAUUGCUUGAGGUCAGAGCUGCUGCUCCAGGAUUUUGUCAUCAGCUAUCUUUGUCCUCUGCUUAGCCACUUUUCAGAAGAAUGUCUUUUCCCUUUUUCUUUUAGUGCCUCUGAUAGGCAUUUCCUGUUCUGUUUUCAAAUCUUACUAAACUUGAAAAAAAGUUUUUGAACCUUGGAACACGUAAUAUCCUGAUCUGCUUUCAGUACUAAUGCCAGUGAGUAAAAUUAUCCUAAUUGCUUUUAAUCUCUUAGUCACUUUAGUUUUGGUAUGAGAACAUUGUGGUAUUUCUGAACAGGCUUUUGUGCCAGAAAAAUAAUAUAAAUCCAUUGCUCAGAAAAAUAGUGCCAUUAGGAGCCAUCAGCAGCUCAUAAUAAUGGCAAUUAGUGACAGUCAGGGGCCCAGUUACUGUUGGCUGUAUCUGACAUUUUUAAAAAAAAGCAAAACAUACAAGGUUUAUUUUAUUAUUAUUUCUUUCUACUUGGUAUAAGUAUUUUUACAUCUGCAUGUGAUUAUUCUGCCUUGUAACUACCACCUCAGGCUCAGUUCUUUUUUAGGGGAAAAAAUGAAUUCCUUAUGUAAUAAGUUAUAGUUUGGAAAUUUUCUCGGACAGACCAUGAGCUCUUCUUAUGAAAUAUUCAAUACAAGGAACAAAAAGUACAGCUAUAAUUCUCUGCAGAAAUAAGUGUUUUUAAUAGAGAGAUACUGGAUCCUUGGGAUCCUAGUUAGUUCCUUUUGUAAAGAUGAAAAUGUGUGCCUUCUAUGCUAAAGUAAUAAUCUCAUAUGAGGUGUAGUAGUUUGAAAACCCAACCCCUAUCAACAGACAAACUUGUCCCAAGAUAGCAGGACAUUUCAAAGCCACUUGAAAGAACCUAUUUCAAGCUGAUUUAUAUGUUAGAAAUACUUUGAGUUCAGGAUUGACUCUCGCAUGAACUCUAAAAGAAAUCACAGACUGAUCCCAGAAUUGUACAGACUUUGUGCAUGUACAAGUGUGUUUGAAAGUUUGAGAAUUAAAAAGACUGUGUCAGAGACUUGAAAUAGCCUGUUUAACACUGAUAACCACCACAGCUUCUUGCAGAAUGUAAAGUGGUGGCUUUUAAAAUUAGAAGCUGGGUAUGUUGCAUCCCAAGAAGCAUAUGAGAUAGCGGUUGCUAGGGUAAGUACUGAUCUGUGCCAGUAACUGAGUAAACAAACAAGAGAAACCCACAUAAAUGGAUGGCUUGGGUACUCGUAACUCACCGACCAUCUGCUUAUUGUGAUUUUUUUCAAUCUCGAGUUUUCUCACCCCAUGAUAUCUUAUGUAUCUGACACUUUGGAAUUCAGGUCUGCUAUAAUGAGAUUAGUCAGUUGUCUUUGUGGUUCUAUGGUUUGCUUUGCAGUGAAGGUUGGAAAAAAACCACAAAGUCCAAGGAAUCAGUGAUAAGACAGCACACUUCCCUGAAAAUCACGUUCUGUGACUUGUGAACAUUACUUCUCAGCUUUUUAAAGUGUUAUUUAUUUUUCAGAAGGAUCUCUUUAUUUUAAUAUAAAAUUAAUCUUAUGUCUUUGUCCUGCGUGUUACAUCCUGUUAAGACUAUUUAGAUCUAUCUGAGAGGUUUUUGUUUCUUUGUAUCUUGCAUAUAGAAAAAUGUUGGUUGAUUUCUUUGAGCAUUCUGUUAUGGGGUUUUAAAGGAUGUGGAAGAUGGCCUUGACUGCUUUUAAAUGGUGAUUGUGCUGGUAAUGUAUGCCACAGGCAGCCUUUCUCCUGGAACAUUGAUAUUUGGGGAUUUUAUUUUAUUUCUGAGUUUUGCAGUGUUGAGGAUCAAACUCUGGGCCUCAGGCCUGCUAGGCAAAUGCUCUACUAUGGAGCUGCAUCCCCUUGCCAGGCACUGUUCCCACAGGUACUGUGGAUUAGCAGUGCUGCCCUUCAGUGUCUCGCAUAUGCCGAAAGGAAAUGCAAGGUGGUGUGUGUGAGCAUGCCUGGCAUUCUUCACAAGGAAGCAUGUGAUUAGUUAGUUACAUCACCAUUAUUACUUGCGCUUCUGCAAAUUGCUUAGGGAAGCUCCACCAUGAGGCAGUGUUGUACUUGUACAAACGUAAGGUUGCCUGGGCUAUUGGACAUGUAAAUGGUGCUGUUUUCCCAGGAGUGACACCCCAGUGACAUCUCCUCAAAUGAGAGAGCAUGGAUGAAGUUUUGUCCAGGCCUGCUGUCCCCCUGAAUUCAAGUCCUAGGUACUUGGAUGUAUAUUUUACAAGAGCUCAUCUAUCUAUUCCUCAUGGGAAUUUGGUAUGUGUGAGAAGGUGUUGUGAUGGUUCCCAGUAAGUCAAUGUUAAAUAGAUGGAUGGUCAUUCUGUCUUAAUAAGAGAAAGAUAUUUUGAUCCAGACAUGGUUGUGCCAAUAGCCCAGCAGAUGACAAACAACAACAACAACAACAACCAGAUUGCAGAGACUUGGCGGGAGAAAAUUGGCAUGGAUGUGUGCUUAGGUCUGAUUGGAACUUCUAGAACUCAUGCAAUUUCAUUGCCAUUGUGAAGGCCUGGGAAAACAAGGCUAUUAGGAGUGAUUAGGCCAUGUAGGCUUCACCUUCAUCAGUGUACUAGCAUCCACAUGGGUUGUUCUAAAAGGAAAUUUUAGCCCUGUCUGUCUUGUCUCUCUUUUGGUGUCUUUGUUUGUCUGUCUGCCCUGCCUUUCACUCUGGGAUAAUACUAAAUGAAGGCCUUGGUCAUGUACCAAUGCCAUCUAUUGGCAGGCUCACUAAAUCCUCUUUUCCAAUGGGAUAUUUUCCAAGAACUAGUGAACUCUUGAAAUCACAAAUAGCACCAAACCCUAUAUAUGCUAUUCAAUUUCCUUUACAUACACACUCAUGAUACCACUUAAUUUAUAAGCUAAGCAUAAUAGAAAUUAACAAUAGAAAUGAUAAAAAGAAUAAUCAUUUUCUUUUUUGGAGGGGGGGGUCAGAUAUGGGGCUUGAACUCUGGGCCUGGGCGCUGUCCCUAAGUUCUUCAGCUCAAGGCUAAUACUCUACCAUUUGAGCCACAGUGUCACUUCCAAAAGAAAAGUUCUUAUAAUAUAAAGUUAUGUGAUUGUCCUCUUUGUCAUCUGUUUGUCUGUCUCUUUCUCUCUCUGUAGAUCUCUGUCUGUCUCUUUCUCCCUCUAUAUAUUAUUCAUACCAGACUUACCUUCCUUGUGCUGACAUGACAUGAUACCAUGCCUACAUAAGGAGAUGAUGUGAGGCAAAUGACACAAAUAUUGUGACAUAGUAUUACUGUUGACCUCUAACUUGAACAGAUGCACUAUGACCCUGCAACAGUUGAUGUGAUACCCUAGAUGGUUGUUAGGCGACUAAGGUGUGCAGAGCAUAUACAAGGUGGAUACAAAGGGAUGAUUCAGGUCACAGGCAGGAUGGAGAUUCUACCACACCUCUAAGAAUGAUGCAUAAUUUCAUUGUAUGCAUAACUUUCUCACUUUUGAAGUUUCUUCAGUUAGAAAAGAAAAUGUUUGACAUGACUGUAGAAGUGAAAUCUUGGAUAAAAAAGGAUCACUGUGUUUUGUUAUAGCAGCAAAAAAAUACACUAAGGCAACCUGCCCGACCUAUGUUUGGAACUGUAGUUAUAGUUGUGACAUUUUCUUCCAGUGACAUUAUGGGAAAGUCUUCAUCUCCCUUUAAACACGACCCCUUUGUGAGUCAUUUUUCUUUGUCUGUACCAGGGUGUUCUACUAUUCUCUUCAACUCCAGCCUCCCUGCAGUCAAAACUGAAUAAAAAAAGUCUUUUUGUGUUUACUGUGUCUCAGAGAGUGCAGACAGGCAUGUGGCCAGAGCUUGGAUUUAUAGAAUUCGCUCUAAGCAGCUGCAAUCAGUUGUCUCCUGGAAGCUUAGAGAAUCUCCAGAGGGCUAAAGAUAAUGAAUGAGCUUUUGUCACUUUGGUAACUAUUUUACAAUGUAUGCAUUAUUCUAAGCAAUUGUAUAGAACUCUUUCCAAUAAUUUUUCAUGAUUUAUAUAACUGUGACCAUCUCUGUGCAGAAGCUGUGUGUGUGUCUUUCUCAGAUUUGUCCUGCAAUUUUACAGUAAGAAAUUAAGUUUGUAUGUUAUGGCAUGCCUUUGGUUUCUGUGCUUUCUCAAGAACAGAGCACACACUUUUGAAGAAUUUCUGUUCUUCACUGGCCUAAGACUUAGUGGAUUUCUACUGUCCCUUUUCCUGGCCAUCAUUGUGCCCCAGUCACAAACAAAGCCAACUGGUAGGGGCUGGAGGUGAUAAGGACUAUGGAGAAACUGAGCUCCAAUUCUUCUAGUCCUUGUUUAAAAACAAACA